UUAUGCCCAAAGGUCUACACGCAACUUCAUUGUGUCCAUAAGGACAAGCUCGCUCUCUCUCUCUAGUCCUAUUUCUCUCGUUCUCCUCCUCUCCUCUUCUGCCGAAAUCAAUGCUGGAGGCGACCCUCUCCAAUCGAUCUCCGUCAGUGAAUUGCACAGAUCCACACAAAUAACCACCGUAUCACCAGUUCCUCACCGCCGAUCUCUUUCCUCUCUCUCCUUCAUCGUCGUCUGUUCAUCGCCAAAUUUUCUACCACCAACGCCAAACUCGACGGGACUGCCGAGUCUCCGAUCUGCCUCAUGUGGCUCGGAUCUCACUCCCCAUGCCCAUCGUGCUGCCAGAUCCUCGCCGUGGCUCGGUGUCAAAAGUGCGGUGGCUCAGUGUCGAUGGUUGAGAGCCUCGAGUGAAGUUAGAGAGAGGGAGAGAGUUGAUCUCUACUUCUUGGUCACUUUCUCUAUUUUCCCAAGCUUAGUUAGCUCUAUUCCAUGAGUUAUCAACACUCACAAAUUCCUAGAUUAACCACCAUUGAUGCCCUAUUUGGAGCUUUCUUCUCAGAGCAUUUCUAGAUCUACAUAAAACUGGUGUGGUGGAAGCUAAAUAAUUUUGUGUUUGGUUGCUUAUAGAAAUUGAAAGAAAUGAAUCUCUCUCUCUCUCUCUCUCUCAUAUACUAUUUUUUUUUUUUGGAUCUGGCUUCUUCUUGUAUGUAUGUAUGAGUUGAUGAGGAUGAGUCUGAUUGCUUCCUUUCUAUUCUUCCUCAAUUUUUCACAUCUCCUGCUUGCUGUAGGUGUAUUGCUUGAAGAUUUUCAUACAGAUAGGUUGAGAAUUCCAUUAGUACAAAUAGAUUGUAAAUUCCACUUUC
This is a long non-coding RNA of Camellia sinensis, 860 nucleotides long. RefSeq lists it as uncharacterized. NCBI's taxonomy places the organism in Eukaryota, Viridiplantae, Streptophyta, Magnoliopsida, Ericales, Theaceae. The record is from RefSeq and is a predicted model, not a curated record.